UGAACGCUGGCGGUAGGCCUAACACAUGCAAGUCGAACGGCAGCACAGUAAGAGCUUGCUCUUACGGGUGGCGAGUGGCGGACGGGUGAGGAAUGCAUCGGAAUCUACUUUUUCGUGGGGGAUAACGUAGGGAAACUUACGCUAAUACCGCAUACGACCUACGGGUGAAAGCAGGGGAUCUUCGGACCUUGCGCGAUUGAAUGAGCCGAUGUCGGAUUAGCUAGUUGGCGGGGUAAAGGCCCACCAAGGCGACGAUCCGUAGCUGGUCUGAGAGGAUGAUCAGCCACACUGGAACUGAGACACGGUCCAGACUCCUACGGGAGGCAGCAGUGGGGAAUAUUGGACAAUGGGCGCAAGCCUGAUCCAGCCAUACCGCGUGGGUGAAGAAGGCCUUCGGGUUGUAAAGCCCUUUUGUUGGGAAAGAAAAGCAGCAGGUUAAUACCCCGCUGUUCUGACGGUACCCAAAGAAUAAGCACCGGCUAACUUCGUG
Molecule: ribosomal RNA, 490 nt
Filed under: uncultured bacterium
Lineage: Bacteria
Description: partial 16S ribosomal RNA
Rfam family: Bacterial small subunit ribosomal RNA
Source: RNAcentral